RNAcentral lists this long non-coding RNA (428 nucleotides) under Lupinus angustifolius (narrow-leaved blue lupine). RNAcentral describes it as "long non-coding RNA (LANG_LNC000975)". The record is from RNAcentral. Lineage: Eukaryota; Viridiplantae; Streptophyta; Magnoliopsida; Fabales; Fabaceae.
AAUUUAAUUGCUAAGUAUGAAUUGUUUGAUUAUAUUGAUACGAGUUUCAGUAAAUCUGAUUUUUAGAAAAUCUGCUAACUUUUCAACCAAAUUUGCACCAUCCUUUUAAUGCAUCUUUCAUCUGGAAGAAUUAUAACAUAAAGUUCGGUGUUAAUCUGUUCAUAAUUGUGUUCUUGGACAUGCAAUUGUCUGUCUGUGGUACUGCUUUUUAGGCUUAAAUAUACUGGUAGAUGGAAGGAUGAAAUGCCCAAGAGGUCAGGGAGACAGUUCUGGAUAUGCAAGGUAGGGUUUUAUUUUAUAUAUGCUUGAGGAAGGAGUUGAGCCUACUUUGACAAUUUCUUUAGCUUUAGAGUCUGACCCUGGCAAGCAUCCCCGAUGAAACAUUAAACAGCAUUGACUCUGAAUCAAUGGCUAUGAGCAUGUACGAC